This 24-nucleotide unclassified non-coding RNA is filed under the name Mus musculus (house mouse). RNAcentral's name for it is "oocyte_clustered_small_RNA13141". Lineage: Eukaryota; Metazoa; Chordata; Mammalia; Rodentia; Muridae. The record is from RNAcentral.
UAGUAGUGGCCUACAGCACAGAGG